AAUUAAGAAGCUUUAAAAAGUAUUGAAUUUUUAAUUCAAUGGAUGACGCUUUCGUCCUUAAUUA
RNAcentral lists this transfer RNA (64 nucleotides) under Anatoecus icterodes. RNAcentral describes it as "tRNA-Lys". The record is from RNAcentral. RNAcentral also lists the same sequence under 1 other name. Lineage: Eukaryota; Metazoa; Arthropoda; Insecta; Psocodea; Philopteridae.